Molecule: small RNA, 3632 nt
Filed under: Pan troglodytes (chimpanzee)
Lineage: Eukaryota; Metazoa; Chordata; Mammalia; Primates; Hominidae
Description: retained intron
Source: RNAcentral
CUUCCGUGCCCUCCCUUGUGGCUCCCAUACCCCUGUGUUUUCCCCACGUGUCCUCAUGGCUCUUUGACUGCUCUCCUGCUUCUUUGUGGGACCUCCCAUCUCCCCCAGUGUCCUCCAGAGACCUCCAUGUUCCCGUGUGAGUUCCUUUUUUUCACGUUUCGUGUGUGGCCCCUGUGUGUCCUCCCGUGUUCCCUGCAUGAGUCCUACAUGAGCCUUGCACGUCCUCCUGUGUCUUCCCAUGUCCCCACAGCAGGACCCUUCGCAGCUCCUUCCUGCUGCUUCUGCUGGUCAGUGCCUCCUGGCUCUUUGGGCUCCUGGCAGUCAACCACAGCAUCCUAGCCUUCCACUACCUCCAUGCUGGACUCUGCGGCCUCCAGGGCCUGGCGGUGCUGCUGCUCUUCUGUGUCCUAAAUGCAGAUGCUCGGGCUGCCUGGACGCCAGCCUGUCUGGGCAGGAAGGCAGCGCCUGAGGAGGCAAGGCCAGCACCUGGGAUGGGACCUGGGGCCUACAACAACACGGCUCUCUUUGAGGAGAGUGGCCUCAUCCGCAUCACUCUGGGCGCCUCCACUGUCUCCUCUGUGAGCAGUGCCCGCUCCGGCCGGACCCAGGACCAGGACAGCCAGCGGGGCCGCAGCUACCUCAGGGACAAUGUCCUGGUUCGACAUGGCUCAGCCGCUGACCACACUGACCACAGCCUCCAGGCUCAUGCUGGCCCCACUGACCUGGACGUGGCCAUGUUCCAUCGAGAUGCUGGCGCAGACUCCGACUCUGACAGUGACCUGUCCUUGGAGGAGGACAGGAGUCUCUCCAUUCCAUCUUCAGAAAGCGAGGACAAUGGCCGGACGCGGGGGCGCUUCCAACGGCCACUCUGCCGGGCAGCCCAGAGUGAGAGGCUCCUCACCCACCCCAAAGAUGUGGAUGGCAAUGACCUCCUGUCCUACUGGCCAGCCCUGGGGGAGUGCGAGGCAGCCCCCUGUGCUCUGCAGACUUGGGGCUCUGAAAGGCGCCUGGGGCUGGACACCAGCAAGGAUGCAGCUAACAACAACCAGCCAGACCCGGCCCUGACCAGUGGGGAUGAGACUUCUCUGGGCCGGGCCCAGCGCCAGAGGAAAGGCAUCCUGAAGAACCGGUUGCAAUACCCACUGGUGCCACAGACCCGAGGUGCCCCUGAGCUGUCCUGGUGCCGUGCAGCCACCUUGGGCCACCGUGCUGUGCCAGCUGCCUCUUACGGUCGCAUCUAUGCUGGCGGGGGCACGGGUAGCCUUUCACAGCCAGCCAGCCGCUACUCUUCUAGAGAACAGCUGGACCUGCUCCUCCGGCGGCAACUGAGCCGUGAGCGACUAGAGGAAGCCCCUGCCCCUGUUCUACGUCCCCUGAGCCGGCCAGGGUCCCAGGAAUGCAUGGAUGCUGCACCAGGCCGACUGGAGCCCAGAGAUCGGGGCAGCACCCUGCCACGGAGGCAGCCACCUCGGGACUACCCUGGCACCAUGGCUGGCCGCUUCGGGUCACGGGAUGCGCUCGACUUAGGGGCACCUCGAGAGUGGUUGAGCACGCUGCCUCCGCCCCGCCGCACCCGGGACCUUGACCCACAGCCCCCACCUCUGCCCCUGUCUCCCCAGCGGCAACUCUCAAGGGACCCCCUCUUGCCAUCCCGGCCGCUGGACUCUCUGUCUAGGAGCUCGAACUCUCGGGAGCAGCUGGACCAGGUGCCUAGCCGGCACCCCUCACGAGAAGCCCUUGGGCCACCCCCGCAGCUGCUCAGAGCUAGGGAGGACUCGGUCAGUGGCCCCAGCCAUGGCCCCUCCACAGAACAGUUGGACAUUCUUUCCUCCAUCCUUGCCUCUUUCAACUCCUCGGCCCUCUCUGUGCAAUCUUCAAGCACACCCUUGGGCCCUCACACCACUGCCACACCUUCUGCCACAGCCUCUGUGCUUGGGCCCUCCACGCCACGUUCUGCCACAUCUCACAGCAUCUCGGAGCUGUCGCCAGACUCAGAAGUUCCCAGAAGUGAGGGUCACUCCUGAGGGGAUGACGGCGUGGACGAGGAACAGCUGAGGGCGACAGAGGAUCUAGGCUAACAGGAGAGACUCCAGGAGUGGGGGCAGAUCCCAAGGCAGCCUCCUGCUCCCCAGUGGUGGGUGCCCCAGCUCUACCUGGUGUGGCAGGGCUGAGGCUCCAUGUGCAUCUGUGAGCAUGCGUGUGACAGGUGCAGAGACGGGGGACUGGAGGGAGACUUUUAUACGUUUUGUACCUUUGUAACCAGAGAGAUGCUUAUGUUAUUUUUCAGCUUUUCUGUCUCCUGGGGGGUUUGAGGCUGGGCUGGGAGGGGGAGGGAGAUAGAGGGAGAGAUGCAGUUUGACCCCAUUUGGGUCCUGAGCAAACCCUAUGCUCAUCUCUCUGUCCUUCCUGGGGUGGACUCAGAUGGGUGGGACACAUGCCUUCCUCCCCCUAUUCCACCCCCAAGUUGAUCUGAGUAUCGUCAGGGGCCCAAAGUACAGAAUUGUUCUUUGCUUUUUAUUGAAUGCUCCAAAGGCCAAACUUCUGGGGCUGGGGGUUGGUCUUGGAAACAGGGGUCCUCUGACUUCCUCAUGGGGGCUCGCUCAUACCGCCCCUCCUGGUGGAUGUGUGUGUUUAUUAUGUGGAGUCCCUGCCACUUACUGCCUUAUGACCUAGGACUGAUGCUGUGGGGUGCUGGUGGAGCAGCUGAUGUCGUGUUUACAGAGCAAGGCUUCCCUGUCUCCCACGGGGAGGGGCUCGGGCCUCUAGUCAGACAUUCCUGCAGAGGGUCGGUGGAGGGGUCAUUCACCUGCCCCUGCAGCAAGCAAAAGUUGUCUGUGGUGCCAUUUGAUUCCCUGACACUGCCCCCUGCUUGAAUUGAUUCUGAAGGGUAGGGUGGGAAGGUGAGCAAAGGGAGCAGAAACAAGGGAAUUCAAGACCCAGAAUGUAGGUGCCACUGCCUCCUAUGUUUACAGGAUCCUCCGUGGCCCUAGGCACCUGGGCUGCAGGAAGUGACUCCGUUCCACUCCUCCUUUAUUCCCUUAAAAAGGGAAAAAUGACUGUUACGACCCUGUUCACAAAACUCUUACUUUUGCUAUUUUGUCUGCUGUCCAGAACUGAAGACUUUAAAAUUUUGUUACUGUUUACAAGUCCAGAUUCAAAAAAUGUUUUUACUUUGUUUACAACUCAAAACUUUGAGUUUUACACUUUGUUUACAGUAGAUAACUUUUUUUCCUUUGUUUACAAGUGAAAGGUAGGGAAAGUGGGAGAGGGACUUGGAGGACCCACCUGUGAGGACCCUGACCUGGCCAUCUUGAGGGGUUUUCUCUAACCCCCAGCUCUCCCAGGCCGAAGGUCAGCCUUGAGUCCCGUUUAACAGCAGACCCAGAAGACCUUGAGAGUAGGCGUCCUCUAACCACUGGGGAGAGUGGCUGUGCAGGGUUGGGGGGUGGUCUGUGCAGACACCUCCUCACCCACCACCCCAUGCAUACUCUUGGGAAGCAGUUUCCUGGGAGAUUAGAAAUUCUACUUCCCUGACUGGAGCUAAAUCCCACCAGCCAGGACCCAAACUCUCCUUACCGAGAAGGACCCCAGCUCUUGAAGGGCUGAGUGGCCUGCUGGGGGUGGGAGGGUGU